GUAGAUUUCUAGUCGUGGCGGCAGUCAUGGCGGCUGCGUCGGGUUCAGUUCGCCUACAGCGCUGCGUGGUGUCGCCGGCUGGGAGGCACAGCGCCUCUCUGAUCUUCCUGCAUGGCUCAGGUGAUUCUGGACAAGGAUUGAGAACGUGGAUCGAGCAAGUUUUAAAUCAAGAUUUCACAUUCCAACAUGUAAAAGUUAUUUAUCCAACAGCUCCUCCCAGGCCAUAUACUCCUUUGAAAGGAGGAUUCUCCAAUGUAUGGUUUGACAGAUUUCAAAUAUCUAAUGACUGCCCAGAACACCUUGAAUCAAUUGAUAUAAUGUGUCAGGUGCUUACAGAUUUGAUUGAUGGUGAAGUAAAAAGUGGUAUCAAGAAGAACAGGAUAUUAGUAGGAGGAUUUUCUAUGGGAGGGUGCAUGGCAAUGCAUUUAGCAUACAGAAAUCAUCAGGAUGUGGCAGGAGUAUUUGCUCUUUCUAGUUUUCUGAAUAAGACAUCUGCUGUUUACCAGGCUCUUCAGAAAAGUGAUGGUGUCCUCCCUGAAUUAUUUCAGUGUCAUGGUACCGCAGAUGAGUUAGUUCUUCAUUCUUGGGGUGAAGAGACAAACUCAGUGUUAAAAUCUCUAGGCGUGAGGACAAAGUUUCAUAGUUUCCCAGGUGUUUACCAUGAGUUAAGCAAAGCUGAGCUAGAAAAACUGAAGUCAUGGAUUCUUACAAAGCUGCCAGACUGAAUGAGUCAAGAUUGAUUUGUUAAUAUAUAAGCAAUGUCUUUAUGAAAAGUGAUUUUUACUGCCAAAUUCUAAUUUGAUAAACAAUAAUUAAAAUAUUAAAAAAUAUCAGCAGUUUACUGACUUAUUAGUUAUUGAAAUGCUUAGCACCAUAGAGAGUAGUAUAAUCUUAUUAAUGGUUAACGUUAAUUUAGGCAAACAUCUGUGUAUUAUUUGGCAGAUACAUUUUUAUAAAUAUUUGAAGGCCUUGUAAGUAAGUAAAUAUUGAACUAUUAGAAAGUAAUUAAACUAGCUUAAAUAAAGGCAAUGAGAAACCAGGAAAAGUUUUAACAUGAUAUUAUUUUAUCUUUGUUGUCACUUUCUUUAAAUUGCCUUUCCGGAGAUAUUCAUGCUCGUGUAGUUUUUGACAGAAUAACAUUAGUACCCCACAUUUAUAGAGUAGUUUCCCGUUACCUCACCUGACCAUCACAAGAGCUUGAUGAAGUAGACUGAGUAGUUGUUACUGGUAUUUUAUAAUAGGGAGAGAAGGAUUGAAAACUUUCCCAAAGCCUCAAGAGUAAAAACUGGAAUCCAGACCUUCUGGUCCCAGUGGAGCUCCCUUUCUCUGAGACCAGAUUGCUGCUCUGCUCCAGUCCUAGGGUUCCGGUUGCUCUUCAGAUCCUUGUCAGCACUCAGUAUGGCCAGUCUUUUCAGUUUUAUCCAUUCUAGUGGGUAUACAGUGGUAACACUUUGUGGGUUUAAUCUGCAUUUUCCUAACCUAAUGGUGUUAAGCAAUUUCUAUAUGCUUAUUUGUGAUCUGUAUAAAUUCUGAUGAUAUCUCUAUUCAGAUCUUCUGCCCAUUUUUUAUUAGGGCAUUGUAACAGCUUGCAUUGUAAAAGCUGUUUAUAUAUGCUGGAUAGAAAUUCUUUGUUAGCCAGAUGUUUUACCUUUUUUUUUUUUUCUUAGUCUGUGGCUUGCCUUAUUUUCUUUACAGUGUAAUUCAAAAGAGCAGAAGUUUUUAAUUUGAUGACGUCCAGUUUAUUCAUUUUUUUUCAUUUAUACUUUGUGCUUUUGAUGUCAUAUUUAAGCAAUCUUAAGAAAUCCUAGGUCACUAAGAUUUUCUCUUAUAUUUUCUUCAACUAAUACACUCCUUUAGUGCUAUAAAUCUUCCCGCAAGUAUUAUAUUAGUAACAUCCCACGAUCUUUUAUAUUUUGUGUUUUCAUUUUCAUUCAGGUCAAAUCUUUCUAAAUUCCCUUUUGAUUUCUUCUUUAACCCUUGGGUUACUUAAAAUUGUGUUAUUUUGUUUCAGUAUAUUGGGAAUUUUCUAGAGAUCUUUGCUAUUGAUGUCUAAGUUAAUUCCAUUGUGGGUCAAGAGAGCAUACUUUGUAUGGCUUCAAACAUUUUAAAUUUAUUGUGACUUGUUUUAUAGCCCAGAAGAUGGUCUAUCUUGGUAAAUGUUUUGUGUGCACUUUAGAAAAAUAUAUAUGAUGCUAGUGUUGGGUGGAGUGUUCUCUACAUAUCAGUCAGAUCAAGUUGGUUGAUAUCCUUGUUUAAAUCUACUAUACCCUUGCUGAUUUUCUGCCUGCUUGUUUUAUAAAUUAUUGAGAGGGGAAUAUUGAAAGUUCCAAGUGUAACUGAAUUUGUUUCACUUUGCCAUUCCCUCAGUUUUCGCUUCAUGUACUAUGAGGCUCCAUUAUUAGAUGCGUAAACAUGUAGGACUAUUAUGUUCCCCUGAUGAACUGGCCUCUUCUUCUUUAUGAAAUGAUCAUCUCUAUCCGUGAUAGAUUUUUUUGCUCUGAAAUACUCAUUGUGUGAUAUUGAUAUAGUCCUUCCAGCUCCCUUUAGCCUAGCAUCUUUUUCCAUACUUCUCUUUUAACCUAUUUGUGUCUUUAUCUGUAAAGAGCAAUUCCAUCAGGCAGAACACAGUUAAGCCUUCCUUUUCUAUCCAGUAUGGUCAUCCCUGCUUUUUAAUUGAUUAUUUAGAACAUUUUAAUGUGAUUGUUGGCAUGUUUGGAUUUCAAGCUACCAUCUUAGCUGUUUAUUUUCUCUAUAUUCCAUCUCUUCUUCUUUGCUCCCUUAUUCCUCUCUUUCUACUCCCCCUUUUUUCCUUGGAUUAUGUGUUCUUUUGCUGGCUUCUUAGUUAUGAUACUUUGUACUUUUAUUUUAAUGAUUACUUUAGGGUUUAUAGCAUAUAAUUUUUAUAAACUUUUUUAAAUUUUGAAAUAAUUACAAGCUCACAGGAAGUGUUAAAGAUAGUACAGAGGAGUCCCAUGUACCCUGCGCCCAAUGGUUACAUCUUAACGUAACUAUAGUAUAAUGUCAAAACCAGGAAACUGACAUUGGUACAAUGUGUGUGUAUAGUUAUAUGCCAUUUUUUCACAUGGCUGCAUGGAUUCAUGUAUCCACCACUACAAUCGAUAUGCAGAACUGUUCCAUCACCACAAAGAUGCCCAUUGUGCUGCCUAUAGUCAUAUCAAUCCCUUCCUCUGUCACCAUCUAACCCAUAACAACCACUGAUUUGUACUCCAUCUCUAUAACUGGACAUUGUGAGAAUGUUAUAGAAGUAGAACUAUACAGUAUGUGACAUUUUGAGAUUGACUUUUUUCACUCCAUCCAAAUUGUUGCAACCAUCAAUAGUUUACUUCUUUUUAUUGCUGAGUAGUAUGCCAUGACGUGAAUGUAUUCAGUAUUAUAGUUUGUUAAACUGUUCUCCAAUUAAAACACAGUUUUUUUUGGCUAUUACGAAUAAAGCUGCCUUGAACACUCUUGUAUAGAUUUUUGUCUAGCUGUAAUUUUUUUUCUCUCUGGGAUAAAUACCCAAGAGAAUGAUUCCUGGGUUGUAUAAUAAGUGUAUGUUUAAGAAACUACCAGACUUUUCCAGAGUAGCUGUGCCAUCUUAUAUUCCUACCAGCAAGGCAGGAGAGAUAAAUAUUCUCUGCAUCCUCAUCAGCAUUUUGUAGUUCCACUAUUUUUUUUUAUUUUAGCUGUUCUAAUAGGUAUAUAAUGAAAUCUCAUUGUGGUCAAAAUGUGCAUUCCCUAAUGGCUAGUGAUUUUGAGCCUAUUUUCAUAAGCUUAUUUGCCAUCUCUAUAUCCUAUUUGGUAGAUGUUUCUUCAUGUCUUUUGCCCAUGAUCAAAUUGGAUUUUCUUUUUAGUUUGCGUUAACUGUUGAGUUUUGAAAGUUUCUUUUAAUAUCUUCUAGAUGUGAGUCUUUUGUUAGUUAUAUAGUUUUCAAAUACUUUUUCACUGUCUGUAGCUUGUCUUUGCAACUUCUUAGGUCCUUUUAUGCAAAAGUUCUAAAUUUUAAUGAAGUCCAGUUUACUGACUUUUUCUUUCAUGGAUUAUGCUUUUGGUGUUAGUGAGCUAUUGUGAGUUAAUUUUUGUAUAAGGUGUGAGAUUUAGGUUGACAUUCAUUUUAUGUUUUUGCCUAUAGAUACCAAGUUGCCCAGCACUGUUUGGUGAAAAAACUAUCCUUCCUCCAUUGAAUUAUUUUUGUACCUUUAUCAAAAAUCAGUUGUCUGUUGCUUGUGUGUCUGUUUCUUGUUUAUCUGUUCUGUUCCAUUGAUCUCUGUGUCUGUCCACAUAACGUUAAUUACUAUAGUUAUGUAAUUCUUGCAGUCAGGUACAGUUAAUUCUUCCUAAUUUAUUCUCCUUUUCAAAAUUGUAUUAGCUAUUUUAGUUCCUUUCCUUUCCAUAUAAAUUUUAAAAUACACUAAUCUAUAUCCACCCAAGAAAUCUUGCUGGAAUUUUGAAAGGAAGUGUGUUAAAUUUGUAUAACAAUUUAGAGAGAAUUGACAUCCUUUCCAUAUUGAAUCUUCCAAUUCAUGAACAUGAUAUAUUACUCCACUUAUUUAGGUCUUCUGUAGUUUCUUUCAUUAUUUUUUUGUAGCAUUUAACAUACAAGUUCUGUACAUGUUUUGUUAGAUUUGUACCUGAGUAUUUUAUUUUUUGAGGAAUUAUAAUUGGUACUGUAUUAUUAAAUACAGUUUCCCUGUGUACAUUGCUAGCUUAUUGAAAUACAGUUGUUUUUUGUGUGGGUGUCUUAUAUCAUAUGAUCUUGUUUAGGUCAGUUACUAAUUCUAGGAGGUUUUCUGUAAAUUCCUUGGGAUUUUCUACAAAGAAAAUGUCACUUGCAAAUUGGAAUCAAUUUAUUUCUUCCUUUCCAAAUGAAGUCCUUGUAUUUCCUUUUCGUUGCUUAUUACACUGACUAGAACUUCCAGCACCAUGCUGGAUGAGAACAGUGAGAGCAGACAUCCUUGUCUUGUUCCCAGCCUUAGGGGGAAAGCAUUCAGUCUUUCAUUAGUAAAUAUGUUAGCUGUAGGGUUUUUUGUAGAUGUUCUUUAUCAAGUCAAUGAAACUCCUCUCUAUUCCUAGUUUUCUAAGAGUUUUUAUCAUGAAUGGUUGUUGAAUUUUAUCAAAUGCUUUUUCCACAACAAGGGAUAAAAUUAUGUAUAAUUAUUAAUGAUAUAAUUUAUUAUUAUAUUAUAGUUAUUAAUAAUAUAAAAUUAUUCUCUUUAGCCUGUUAAUAAUAUGUUCUUCUAUAUCUGGUAUGUGUUUUUACUCUUGCUGCUUUUAAGAGUUUCUCUUGUCACUGAUAUUGAGCAAUUUGAUUAUGACAUAUAUUGGUUGGUAUAGUUUUUCAUGUUUCUUAUCCCAGGGGUUCCUGCUAAUCUUUUUAGGUGGUUCUUUCUGGCCCCAGAUAGUUUACUCUGUGAAUACUCCAGGUGGACCAUCUCUAGAUCUCUGGAGUUCUGUCUCUGUGAAACUUACUCUUCUCUGGUACUCUGUCCUCUCAAUUCUAGCCAACAUCAUCUACUCAGACUCUUAGCUCUGCAUGUCAACUCAGGGAGUCCACCAGGCUCUGCAUGGAUUUUUCCUCUCUGUUCUGCAGUCUGGGAACUCUCUCAAGGCAAUAAGCUAGGGACAUUAUAAGGCUCACCGUGUUUCCUUUCCUUCUCUCAGUGAUCACUAUCCUUCAUUGCCUGAUGUAUGCUGCUUUGAAAAACAUUAUCUCCAGUACUUUGCCUUUGUCUGUUUUGUUUUGUUUUGUUUUUGUUUUCUGUUUGUUUCAGGUGAAAGAAUCCAUCUAGUCCCUGUUUAUUAAUAACAUUAUGUCUGAAUGCUAAAUUAUCCUUUAAAGAGAUUUUUUUAAGUUUUUUAAAGUCUUUUAUAUUUACCCAUAUUCUUUCCUUUUCUAAUGUUCUUCAUUCCUUAAUAUAGCUUCAGAUUUCCAUAUGGUAUCAUUUUCCUUCUGCCUGAAAUACAUUAACAUUUAUGACAGACAUGUCUGCUGCUGUUAAAUUCUUUCAACAUUUUUCUAUCUGAAAAAGUAUUAUUUUGUUUUUAUUUUUGAGAGCUGUAUAGAAUUCUAACUUGACAGGGUUUUCUUUCUUUCAUUACUUUAAAGAUCUUAUGCUGUCAUCUUCUAGUUUGCAUUUUUUCUACUGUUGUUCUAAUCUUUUAUCCUCUGGCUGCUUUUACAAUUUUCUCUAUUUUUAGUUUUAAGCAAUUUGAUUAUGGUGUGCGUUGGUGUUGUUUUCUCCAGUUUCUUUCUGCUUGGAAUUUCUUGAGUUUCUAAUCUGUGGAUUUAUAGUUUUCAUGAAAUUUGGAGACGUUUUGGCCAUUGCAUUUUCAAAUAUUUGUUUGCCUAUCUCCUGUCCCUUUUUUGUAGGAUUUCAAUUAUACUUAUAUUAGACUAUUUGAAGUUGUUUCACAACUUACUUGUACUUAUUUUUUUCUUUUUUUAAAUUUGUUUUCACUCUCCAUUUUAUUUUGGAUAGUUUCUAUUCCUGUUGUGAAUUUCACUGAUAUUCUCUUCUGCAGUUAUUUGUCAUUAAUCCCAUCUUUUUUAUCUCAGAUAUUGCCUAUCUCUAGUUCUUUUUUUUAAUUUCUUGAAUUCAUAUAAUUAAUAUGCUUAGUCUUUUCUCCACCUUCUGGAAUAUAUGGGAUAUAGUUUUAAUAGCAGUUUUAAUAUCUUUAUUUGUUGAGUCUAUCAUCUCUGUCAUUUUUGACUUUGUUUUAAUUAAUUUUUCUUUUUAUUAAGAAUAAAUUUUUUUGCUUCCUUUAUAUGCCUAUUGAUUUUUUAUUGGAUUUCAGACAUUGUGAAUUCUACAUUGUUAAGUGCUAGAUCAGUUUGCAUUUCUAUAAAUAUUUAUGAGCUUUGCCAUGGAAUGCAGUUAAGUUACUUGGAAAGUACUUAGAAGUAUUUUGAUCCUUUCAGGCUUCCUUUUAAGCUUUCUUAGGUAGUACGAGAGCAGUGUUUGCUCCAGGACUAACUUUGCCCCACCGUUCAAGCAACACAUGUUUGAGUACUCUAGCUGAUACUCACUGGAUUGUGAUGUUUUACACUCUGACUAGUGGGAAAUCAAAUUUCUCCCAGUCCUCUCUGAGCCUCAGUGAUCAUUCCUUCUGUUCCUUCUAGGUAGUUCAUACUUGCCUUACACAAAUCUGUUGGUUAGUACUCUGCUGAAGAUUUGAAGGGGACCCUCUGAAGAUCUCUGGCAGUCUUGCAGCCGUCCAGUACUCUGUCAUGUGAACUCGAAGCUCCUUGACUUUCUGGACUCCCAACUCUGUCUCCUCCUUCAGCUCCAUCUGGGUCUCCAUCUCCAUGCUGUAGCCUUGAAACUCUUCACACAUUAUGUUUUAUUCAGUAGACAAAACUGAGGACUUAAGCCUGGGGCACAGCAUCUCAGAUAAAUCUGAGGGACGGCUCUGAAGAGAGGAGAACCUCUAUUUCAAUAUUGAAUAAAAGUAACAAGAGUGGACAACCUUGUUUCCAUUCCCAGCAUCGGGAAAUCUUUCAACAAAUCACAACUAAAUAUAAUGUAGAUAUUUUGUAGAUACCUUUCAUCAGAUUAAGGAAGUUUCCUUCUAUUCUUAGAUUCUGAGUGUUUAUCAUGAACGGAUAUUGAAUUUUAUUUUUCUGUAACUAUAAAGAUGAUGAAGAUAAAAGAAAAUCCACAUGACUUUUCUCCCCUUUUCUCUUCAUGUGGUAGAUCACAUUGAUUGAGUUUUGAAUUUUGAACCCCAUUUGGUCAUGAUGCUCUAUUCCUUUUAUGUAUUGCUGGAUUUGGUUUGUUAAUAUUUUGUUUAGAAUUUUUUAAUCUCUGUUCCUAAGAUAAAUUUGCCUGUAAUUUUCCUAUUUAUAAUGUUCUUAUCAGGUUUUUCUAUCAAAGUUUAAUUACAUUAUAAAAUAAGUUAGGAAGUGUUCCUUUUUUCCUAUUCUCUAGAAGAGUUUUUAUAAUAUUGGUUUUAUUGCUUCCUUAAAUGUCUGGGAGAAUUCACAAGUGAAACUAUCUGGGCUUAGAGUUUUCUUUUGGUGGAGAUUAUUUAAUAUUAUUUAAAUAUUUCAGAUUUAUUAGCAUAUAAUUAUUAAUAAUUGUCUCAUUAUGUUUUGAAUAUCUGUACAAAACAUAGUGAUGGCCUCUUUUACUAGAGGCUAAUUUGAGCCCUUUCUCUCUUUCGCGCUCUCUCUCUCCCUCUCUCCCUGCUUUUAAAACUGAUUGAGACAUGCCUUAAAGUCCAGCAUACUGUUGACUUUAGUAAAUGUUCUAUGUGCACUGCAAACAAAUGUAUAUUUUGUUAUUAGUUACUAGUUUAUCCAUU
RNA transcript from Globicephala melas (long-finned pilot whale), 8304 nucleotides. It is a transcript of the gene named lysophospholipase like 1, with no coding region annotated. The record is from RefSeq and is a predicted model, not a curated record. Lineage: Eukaryota; Metazoa; Chordata; Mammalia; Artiodactyla; Delphinidae.